GACACUUAAAGAUGAUUGAAGUGAUUCCUGUCUGUAUCUAUCAUAAUGCCCCUUUCCCCUUAACAGGGACAAACUAAAGAUACAAAGGUUAUGGCUUUCUUGAUUAAUCUAUGUGACAGGGGCAAAUUGCCUGUUUUCUUUUAUUCCUUUUUUUUUUUUUUCCUAUAGAGUGCCAGAGGCAGGGAAUUCCUAUGCUUCACUAGUGACUCAUAAGAAAACUUAAUAGAAGGUCUCUACUGCCUGCUGGCCCUGCAGUACCUGAUUGAUGUGGUCCCAAACUAAAGUAGGCUAACCUUCAUUGAACCAAGCACUUCAGAGCCAUGGGAAGAAGUAUGGGGGAAGGAGUCCUUGUACUCUGGCAAUGAGGAAAACAAACAUUAACAGUGCAAGACACAGUGAGAGUCACAGAUCCAUGGAUGGACGAUCCUUUUGAGGACAAUAGAGGGGGAAUUUGGAUAAGUUUCCUGAGUGAGAAACCUUCCAGAUGGCAAUCUGAAAGUUAGCUGUUCCUUCUCAAAACACAGAGCUUUCUCAAGAGAAAGAUAACACCCUCUUUCAUCAGAGCGAGCGAGGACUUUGCUGGUUACUAGACAUUUCGAGCUGAC
RNAcentral lists this long non-coding RNA (605 nucleotides) under Homo sapiens (human). RNAcentral's name for it is "HSALNT0147667". Lineage: Eukaryota; Metazoa; Chordata; Mammalia; Primates; Hominidae. The record is from RNAcentral.